UACGAACCGUGCGAACGUUGUUCGGAAUCACUGGGCUUAAAGGGCGCGUAGGCGGGCCACCCAGUCCGGGGUGAAAUCUUUCGGCUCAACCGGAAAAGGGCGUUGGAUACUGGUGGUCUGGAGGAAGGUAGGGGCAUGCGGAACUUCCGGUGGAGCGGUGAAAUGCGUUGAUAUCGGAAGGAACGCCGGUGGCGAAAGCGGCGUGCUGGACCUUUGCUGACGCUGAUGCGCGAAAGCCAGGGGAGCGAACGGG
RNAcentral lists this ribosomal RNA (253 nucleotides) under uncultured bacterium. RNAcentral describes it as "partial 16S ribosomal RNA". It matches the Rfam family "Bacterial small subunit ribosomal RNA", at positions 524 to 776 of the family's 1533-position model. The record is from RNAcentral.